CAGAGGGUGCGAGCGUUGUCCGGAAUCACUGGGCGUAAAGGGUGCGUAGGUGGCUUGGUAAGCGUGUGGUGAAAGUCCGGGGCUCAACCCCGGAUCUGCCGUGCGAACUGCUGAGCUCGAGCAAUGUAGAGGCAGGUGGAAUUUCGGGUGUAGCGGUGGAAUGCGUAGAGAUCCGAAAGAACACCAGUGGCGAAGGCGGCCUGCUGGGCAUUAGCUGACACUGAGGCACGACAGCGUGGGAGCAAACAGGAUU
This 253-nucleotide ribosomal RNA is filed under the name uncultured bacterium. RNAcentral's name for it is "partial 16S ribosomal RNA". It matches the Rfam family "Bacterial small subunit ribosomal RNA", at positions 526 to 779 of the family's 1533-position model. The record is from RNAcentral.